GGGGAUGUUCCGGAUUCGAUUUCGGCAAAUAGGUUGCGGCUGCACGCGGAGGAUGAUGCUCGGCCUCCUAAAUCAUGCAUCGCCACGUCAAAUGGCAAAAACAACACCAUCGCGUUCGAACGCAGCAAUGCGUUCGCGCUUGCCGCCUGAAGUUGCGGCACGGUUACGCGCGCCCACGCCUGCCUAAGCGCGCGAGCCGUCAAAAAAGCAGGUAAAACUUCGGACUUGUCCGCAUUCCCGCGAAGCGAAAAACGGGAACGCGGAUAGGCUCUCCCGGGCGCCGCCGCCCCAAGGAAAGCCGAAUUCCAAACGUACGGCUAAGCGUGUAGACGUCGCCUCCGAAAGGCCGAAAGACAGGGGUUCGACUCCCCUCAUCUCCACCA
This 383-nucleotide transfer-messenger RNA is filed under the name human gut metagenome. It matches the Rfam family "transfer-messenger RNA". From Rfam's summary of the family: Bacterial tmRNA, also known as 10Sa RNA or SsrA, is named for its dual tRNA and mRNA-like properties. Its role is to liberate the mRNA from a stalled ribosome. The record is from RNAcentral.